GAUAGGUGAACAGCUGGUGAAGUCGGACAUUGAGUCCGCCUUUCGCUUGCUCCCGAUUCACCCUGACUGCUUCCACUUGUUCAGAUGCCACUUUCAGGGGUCGUUCUUUUUUAAUACGUGUUUGCCAAUGGGUUGCGCUAUUUCAUGUUCGUACUUUGAAAUGUUUGCAUCAUUUCUUGAACGGGGGUUUUAUUCAGGUGUCG
This is a non-coding RNA of Pelobates cultripes (western spadefoot toad), 203 nucleotides long. Lineage: Eukaryota; Metazoa; Chordata; Amphibia; Anura; Pelobatidae. The record is from the annotation of a GenBank genome assembly.